AUACGGAGGGUGCGAGCGUUAAUCGGAAUUACUGGGCGUAAAGCGUACGUAGGCGGCUUGGUCAGUCGGAUGCGAAAGCCCCGGGCUCAACCUGGGAAUGGCAUUCGAUACUGCCAGGCUAGAGUAUGGGAGAGGGAAGUGGAAUUUCCGGUGUAGCGGUGAAAUGCGUAGAUAUCGGAAGGAACUCCAGUGGCGAAGGCGACUUCCUGGCCCAAUACUGACGCUGAGGUGCGAAAGCGUGGGGAGCGAACAGGAUUAGAAACCCUAGUAGUCC
RNAcentral lists this ribosomal RNA (274 nucleotides) under uncultured bacterium. RNAcentral's name for it is "partial 16S ribosomal RNA". It matches the Rfam family "Bacterial small subunit ribosomal RNA", at positions 523 to 796 of the family's 1533-position model. The record is from RNAcentral.